UAAUAAUGAAAGAUUAAAAAUCUUCUUAAAUAAAUUUACAAUUUAUCACUUAAAUCAGCCACAUUAUC
Molecule: transfer RNA, 68 nt
Filed under: Syrista sp. 1 GYN-2021c
Lineage: Eukaryota; Metazoa; Arthropoda; Insecta; Hymenoptera; Cephidae
Description: tRNA-Tyr
Source: RNAcentral